AAGAAAAAGGACAUUACUUUUCACACUGUGCGAUUACUCUGGGAAUUAAAAAGUGGUUUUUGAUUUUGUUCUGUUUUCUGAACUUGGUGUUUUGCUGUCAGAUUUGCAUUGUUAGUAUAGGCAAUUUUUGUUUCUGCUACUAAGAUGUGUCACUUACUACCAGAGACUAUGCCUGUUUUCAUCCUGUAUCAUUUUUAUCUCUUUUUUCCCAGAAGCUUUCCUCCGAUAUAAAGUAAAAAUGGAUAAGACUAACUGUAUGUCAUUCAUGCUUUCACCACAUACUUGUACUGGAGAACAUGAGCCAGUCUGUGCAACCAAUGGUCAUACUUACCGUAAUAUAUGUAUUCUCUGCAGUGAAAAGAUGUAAGAAUAUGACAGUAAAUAUUUCCUCUUCAAAAGUAAUCAGGAAGUCAUUUCAACAGAAUAGGAAAAUUCAUAGUGCCAAUAACCUAAACACAGCAUAUGUACAAAAUAACUGUCGUAACCAUACAUAAAAGAUGUCCUUUACACACCUGUACUUUUCCUUAAAGUUCUAAUUUCUAAAAAGGAGUACUGCUUUAGAGCUCUCUACAUAACCAUGCAGAAUUUUCUGAAAAUCAAUUAUUAUCUACUGCUGCUGCUGCUAAGUCGCUUCAGUCAUGUCCGACUCUGUGUGACCCCAUAGACGGCAGCCCACCAGGCUGCCCCAUCCCUGGGAUUCUCCAGGCAAGAACACUGGAGUGGGUUGCCACUUCCUUCUCCAAUGCAUGAAAGUGAAAAGUGAAAGUGAAGCCGCUCAAUCGUGUCCGACUCUUCGUGACCCCAUGGACUGCAGCCUACCAGGCUCCUCCGUCUACUAACAGCAGACUAACGUAUGGCUUCUUCGUAAAAAUUUUGAAGUUGCUCAUUUUGGUGUUUGUUGAAUUUUGAUGAAGAUAUACACCCUUAUAAUUCUAAUGUGAUCUAAUUUUGCAGUCAAUUCUACAAUUAGAAUUUGAUUUCUCUCAACUGGGUCCUUAAAUUCACAGAUGAUCAGAUAUAUCCUCUUAUGGAACAUGAGAUGGAAAAUAGAAUUUCAAAGUUAUUGCCAGUUCAAAGAUUUUUUUAUUUUAGGACUUUGAUUCUCCAUGUUUGGUUAUUUAGUGACAGUUUGAAAAAUAUCUUAAAUAUAUGUUUGAUAUCAUAAAACUUAAUACAAC
This is a long non-coding RNA of Bos taurus (domestic cattle), 1178 nucleotides long. NCBI's taxonomy places the organism in Eukaryota, Metazoa, Chordata, Mammalia, Artiodactyla, Bovidae. The record is from Ensembl.